This 466-nucleotide ribosomal RNA is filed under the name uncultured bacterium. RNAcentral's name for it is "bacterial SSU rRNA". It matches the Rfam family "Bacterial small subunit ribosomal RNA", at positions 28 to 353 of the family's 1533-position model. The record is from RNAcentral.
GACGAACGCUGGCGGCGUGCCUAACACAUGCAAGUCGAACGGUUCCAUUGUUAACACUGAGUAUAUUGCCAAGCGUCAUGCGAGAGCGAUAGCUCGAGCAUCACGCUAAUCCCAAGAGCAUAGCACAUGCAAGGGAUGUCUCGAGAGAGACAGACCAAGAGCAUAGCACAUGCAAGGGAUGGCAGUAUAUUGAGUGUUAACGAUGGGAUAGUGGCGGACGGGCGAGUAACGCGUGAGCAACCUGCCUUGUACUGGGGGAUAACACCGGGAAACCGGUGCUAAUACCGCAUAAUACUACAGGAACGCAUGUUUUUGUAGUCAAAACUCCGGUGGUACAAGAUGGGCUCGCGUCCAAUUAGCUAGUUGGUGAGGUAACGGCCCACCAAGGCGACGAUUGGUAGCCGAACUGAGAGGUUGAUCGGCCGCAUUGGGACUGAGACACGGCCAGACUCCUACGGGAGCAGCA